RNAcentral lists this unclassified non-coding RNA (815 nucleotides) under Hevea brasiliensis (rubber tree). Lineage: Eukaryota; Viridiplantae; Streptophyta; Magnoliopsida; Malpighiales; Euphorbiaceae. The record is from RNAcentral.
CAGCAUUCGAUAUAAACUUUUGGCAUAUUUUAUCAUUCUUUGUCAAACCUUCUGUUAACGUAGCAAAAUGGAGGCUAGGAGGUUCACUAUAGCUCUCUUCUUUGUCUUCUUACUCUCAAAAUCCUACGCUUUGUCCUCUAGAAAAGAUGGAGCUCGAAGCCCCUGUAAAAAAUUAGUCUUUUAUUUCCACGACAUUAUUUACAAUGGCAAGAACUCCAAAAAUGCAACUUCUGCUAUUGUGGGUGCACCAGCUUGGGCUAACAAGACCAUCUUGGCUGGCCAGAACCAUUUUGGUGACCUAGUUGUGUUUGAUGAUCCCAUUACACUAGAUAACAAUCUACACUCAACACCAGUUGGCCGUGCACAAGGGAUCUACUUAUAUGACAAGAAAGAAAUUUUCACAGCUUGGCUAGGCUUCUCCUUUGUUUUGAACUCUACUGAGCAUAAGGGAAGCAUCAACUUUGCUGGGGCUGAUCCACUGAUGAACAAGACUAGAGAUAUUUCAGUGAUUGGCGGUACGGGUGACUUCUUUAUGGCCAGAGGAAUAGCCACUUUGAUGACUGAUGCAUUUGAGGGUGAAGUUUAUUUCAGGCUUCGUGUUGAUAUUAACUUGUAUGAGUGUUGGUAACAAGAAUAGUUUGCUUGAGUUAUUUGCCACUACCUUCUUUUGGCUCAGCAUCUCCUUUAACGUAAAGGGUUUCAGAAAUGAAAUAAAUUUUAUUACGAGUCUUUGGCCGCUUCAAAUUCUUUACUUUAAAUCUAAUUAUUUGAUCCGAUACAUCAGUAAUUCGUGGGAAGAAGGAGAUUGUAUUAAA